RNAcentral lists this ribosomal RNA (250 nucleotides) under uncultured bacterium. RNAcentral's name for it is "partial 16S ribosomal RNA". It matches the Rfam family "Bacterial small subunit ribosomal RNA", at positions 524 to 773 of the family's 1533-position model. The record is from RNAcentral.
UACGUAUGGGGCAAGCGUUGUUCGGAGUUAUUGGGCGUAAAGGGCGUGUAGGCGGUUCAUUAAGUCUGGUGUGAAAUCGCAGGGCCUAACCUUGCGUGUGCGCUGGAAACUAGUGGACUUGAGUUCCUGAGGGGAAGCUGGAAUUCCAGGUGUAGGGGUGAAAUCUGUAGAUAUCUGGAAGAACACCGGUGGCGAAGGCGAGCUUCUAUCAGAGGACUGACGCUGAGGCGCGAAAGCGUGGGGAGCAAAC